AGAGUUUGAUCAUGGCUCAGGACGAACGCUGGCGGCGCGCCUAACACAUGCAAGUCGAGCGAGAACCAGGGCUUCGGCCCUGGGGACAGCGGCGAACGGGUGAGUAACACGUGGAUAACCUGCCCUCGGCACCGGAAUAGCCCGAGGAAACUCGGAUUAAUGCCGGAUAGCCCCACAUCCCUGCGGGGAACGUGGGAAAAGGUAGCUUCGGCCUCUGGCCGGGGAUGGGUCCGCGGUGGAUUAGCUUGUUGGCGGGGUAACGGCCCACCAAGGCGACGAUCCAUAGCUGGUCUGAGAGGAUGAUCAGCCACACUGGGACUGAGACACGGCCCAGACUCCUACGGGAGGCAGCAGUGGGGAAUCUUGCGCAAUGGGCGAAAGCCUGACGCAGCGACGCCGCGUGCGGGAAGAAGGCCUUCGGGUUGUAAACCGCUUUCAGGAGGGACGAAGCCACUCGGGUUAAUAGCCCAGAGGGUGACGGUACCUCCAGAAGAAGCCCCGGCUAACUACGUGCCAGCAGCCGCGGUAAUACGUAGGGGGCUAGCGUUGUCCGGAUUUAUUGGGCGUAAAGAGCGUGUAGGCGGUCAGGUAGGUCGGUUGUGAAAACUGGAGGCUCAACCUUCAGAGGUCGACCGAAACCCCCUGGCUAGAGUCCGGGAGAGGAGAGUGGAAUUCCUGGUGUAGCGGUGAAAUGCGCAGAUAUCAGGAAGAACACCCGUGGCGAAAGCGGCUCUCUGGAACGGUACUGACGCUGAGACGCGAAAGCGUGGGGAGCGAACAGGAUUAGAUACCCUGGUAGUCCACGCCGUAAACGAUGGGCGCUAGGUGUGGGAGGUGUCGACUCCUUCCGUGCCGAAGCUAACGCAUUAAGCGCCCGCCUGGGGAGUACGGCCGCAAGGCUAAAACUCAAAUGAAUUGACGG
Molecule: ribosomal RNA, 922 nt
Filed under: uncultured bacterium
Lineage: Bacteria
Description: bacterial SSU rRNA
Rfam family: Bacterial small subunit ribosomal RNA
Source: RNAcentral